This 468-nucleotide ribosomal RNA is filed under the name uncultured bacterium. Its description in RNAcentral is "partial 16S ribosomal RNA". It matches the Rfam family "Bacterial small subunit ribosomal RNA", at positions 28 to 507 of the family's 1533-position model. The record is from RNAcentral.
GACGAACGCUGGCGGCGUGCUUAACACAUGCAAGUCGAACGGAAAGGCCCUGCUUUUGUGGGGUGCUCGAGUGGCGAACGGGUGAGUAACACGUGAGUAACCUGCCCUUGACUUUGGGAUAACUUCAGGAAACUGGGGCUAAUACCGGAUAGGAGCCCCUGCUGCAUGGUGGGGGUUGGAACGUUUCGGCGGGUGGGGAUGGACGCGCGGCUUAUCAGCUUGUUGGUGGGGUAGUGGCUUACCAAGGCAUUGACGGGUCGCCGGCCUGAGAGGGUGACCGGCCACAUGGGGACUGAGAGACGGCCCAGACUCCUACGGGAGGCAGCAGUGGGGAAUAUUGCACAAUGGGAGGAAGCCGGAGGCAGCAACGCCGCGUGCGGGAUGACGGCCUUCGGGUUGUAAACCGCUUUCGCCUGUGACGAAGCGUGAGUGACGGUAAUGGGUAAAGAAGCACCGGCUAACUACGUG